AUUGAACGCUGGCGGCAUGCCUUACACAUGCAAGUCGAACGGUAACAGGUCUUCGGAUGCUGACGAGUGGCGAACGGGUGAGUAAUACAUCGGAACGUGCCUAGUAGUGGGGGAUAACUACUCGAAAGAGUGGCUAAUACCGCAUGAGAUCUACGGAUGAGAGAAGGGGAUCGCAAGACCUUGUGCUAAUAGAGCGGCCGAUGGCAGAUUAGGUAGUUGGUGGGAUAAAAGCUUACCAAGCCGACGAUCUGUAGCUGGUCUGAGAGGACGAUCAGCCACACUGGGACUGAGACACGGCCCAGACUCCUACGGGAGGCAGCAGUGGGGAAUUUUGGACAAUGGGCGAAAGCCUGAUCCAGCAAUGCCGCGUGCAGGAUGAAGGCCUUCGGGUUGUAAACUGCUUUUGUACGGAACGAAAAGCCCCGGGUUAAUACCCUGGGGUCAUGACGGUACCGUAAGAAUAAGCACCGGCUAACUACGUGCCAGCCGCCGCAGUAA
This 498-nucleotide ribosomal RNA is filed under the name uncultured bacterium. RNAcentral describes it as "partial 16S ribosomal RNA". It matches the Rfam family "Bacterial small subunit ribosomal RNA", at positions 30 to 523 of the family's 1533-position model. The record is from RNAcentral.